AAUUUAAGGUUGAGUGCAAUCAGACCCAGCAGGAAGAUUGAUCAUAUGUGGUUCAUGCUUAUGUUGUUGAAGAGAUUCGCAAGUUGUGUCCGGUCCCUCUACACCUUUGCCAGACAAAAAGCUCUUGUUGUUUAUUUCAAAAGUUGUGUAUGA
This is a non-coding RNA of Vicia faba (fava bean), 153 nucleotides long. The record is from the annotation of a GenBank genome assembly. NCBI's taxonomy places the organism in Eukaryota, Viridiplantae, Streptophyta, Magnoliopsida, Fabales, Fabaceae.